This 1267-nucleotide ribosomal RNA is filed under the name metagenome. RNAcentral's name for it is "bacterial LSU rRNA". It matches the Rfam family "Bacterial large subunit ribosomal RNA", at positions 1644 to 2925 of the family's 2925-position model. The record is from RNAcentral.
GUACCCGAAACCGACACAGGUGGGGUGGUAGAGAAUACCGAGGGGCGCGAGGUAACUCUCUCUGAGGAACUCGGCAAAAUGGCCCCGUAACUUCGGGAGAAGGGGUGCCACCGCAAGGUGGUCGCAGUGAAGAGGCCCAGGCGACUGUUUACCAAAAACACAGGUCUCCGCUAAGUCGCAAGACGAUGUAUGGGGGCUGACGCCUGCCCAGUGCCGGAAGGUUAAGGAAGUUGGUCAGCGAAAGCGAAGCUAGCGACUGAAGCCCCGGUGAACGGCGGCCGUAACUAUAACGGUCCUAAGGUAGCGAAAUUCCUUGUCGGGUAAGUUCCGACCCGCACGAAAGGCGUAACGAUCUGGGCGCUGUCUCGGAGAGAGGCUCGGCGAAAUAGAAUUGUCUGUGAAGAUGCGGACUACGUGCACCCGGACAGAAAGACCCUAUGAAGCUUUACUGUAGCUUGGUAUUGUGCCCGGGCUCUGAAUGCGCAGGAUAGGUGGGAGGCUUUGAUCCAUGGCUUGCGGGUCAUGGUGAGCCAACGGUGAGAUACCACUCCUUCAGAGCUAGGGUUCUAACGGUCACCCGUUAUCCGGGGACCGGACAGUAUCUGGUGGGCAGUUUGACUGGGGCGGUCGCCUCCUAAAAGGUAACGGAGGCGCGCAAAGGUUUGCUCAGGCUGGUUGGAAAUCAGCCGACGAGUGUAAAAGCAGAAGCAAGCUUGACUGUGAGACCAACAAGUCGAACAGGGACGAAAGUCGGCUUUAGUGAUCCGACGGUUCUGAGUGGAAGGGCCGUCGCUCAACGGAUAAAAGUUACUCUAAGGAUAACAGGCUGAUCUCCCCCAAGAGUUCACAUCGACGGGGAGGUUUGGCACCUCGAUGUCGGCUCAUCGCAACCUGGGGCUGAAGUCGGUCCCAAGGGUUGGGCUGUUCGCCCAUUAAAGCGGUACGCGAGCUGGGUUCAGAACGUCGUGAGACAGUUCGGUCCAUAUCCGGUGCAUGCGCAGGAAUAUUGAGAGGAGUUCUCCCUAGUACGAGAGGACCGGGAGGAACGCACCUCUGGUGUACCAGUUAUUGUGCCAACGGUAAACGCUGGGUAGCCAUGUGCGGAGAGGAUAACCGCUGAAAGCAUCUAAGUGGGAAGCCCACCUCAAGAUGAGUAUUCCCAUGGCAUAAGCCAGUAAGGUCACGGGAAGAACACCCGUUGAUAGGCUCUACGUGGAAGCGCAGUAAUGCGUGAAGCGGAGGAGUACUAAUAGACCGAGGGCUUGAC